AGGUAAGCUACUAAGAGCGAAUGGUGGAUGCCUUGACUGGUAAAGGCGAUGAAGGACGUACUAGACUGCGAUAAGCUACGGGGAGCUGUCAAGAAGCUUUGAUCCGUAGAUUUCCGAAUGGGGCAACCCAAUGUAUAGAGAUAUACAUUACCUAUAUAGGAGCGAACGAGGGGAAUUGAAACAUCUUAGUACCCUCAGGAAAAGAAAUCAAUAGAGAUUGCGUCAGUAGCGGCGAGCGAAAGCGCAAGAGGGCAAACCCAGUGCUUGCACUGGGGGUUGUAGGACUGCAAUGUGCAAGAGGUAAGUUUAGCAGAACAUUCUGGAAAGUAUAACCAUAGAGGGUGAUAGUCCCGUAUGCGAAAAACAAACCUUAGCUAGCAGUAUCCUGAGUAGGGCGGGACACGAGGAAUCCUGUCUGAAUCCGGGUCGACCACGAUCCAACCCUAAAUACUAAUACCAGAUCGAUAGUGCACAAGUACCGUGAGGGAAAGGUGAAAAGAACUGAGGUGAUCAGAGUGAAAUAGAACCUGAAACCAUUUGCUUACAAUCAUUCAGAGCCCUAUGUAGCAAUACAGGGUGAUGGACUGCCUUUUGCAUAAUGAGCCUGCGAGUUGUGGUGUCUGGCAAGGUUAAGCAAACGCGAAGCCGUAGCGAAAGCGAGUCUGAAUAGGGCGCUUAGUCAGAUGCUGCAGACCCGAAACGAAGUGAUCUAUCCAUGAGCAAGUUGAAGCUAGUGUAAGAACUAGUGGAGGACUGAACCCAUAGGCGUUGAAAAGCCCCGGGAUGACUUGUGGAUAGGGGUGAAAGGCCAAUCAAACUUCGUGAUAGCUGGUUCUCUCCGAAAUAUAUUUAGGUAUAGCGUUGUGUCGUAAUAUAAGGGGGUAGAGCACUGAAUGGGCUAGGGCAUACACCAAUGUACCAAACCCUAUCAAACUCCGAAUACCUUAUAUGUAAUCACAGCAGUCAGGCGGCGAGUGAUAAAAUCCGUCGUCAAGAGGGAAACAACCCAGACUACCAGCUAAGGUCCCUAAGUCUUACUUAAGUGGAAAACGAUGUGAAGUUACUUAAACAACCAGGAGGUUGGCUUAGAAGCAGCCAUCCUUUAAAGAAAGCGUAAUAGCUCACUGGUCUAGUGAUUUUGCGCGGAAAAUAUAACGGGGCUAAAGUAAGUACCGAAGCUGUAGACUUAGUUUACUAAGUGGUAGGAGAGCGUUCUAUUUGCGUCGAAGGUAUACCGGUAAGGAGUGCUGGAGCGAAUAGAAGUGAGCAUGCAGGCAUGAGUAGCGAUAAUUAAUGUGAGAAUCAUUAACGCCGUAAACCCAAGGUUUCCUACGCGAUGCUCGUCAUCGUAGGGUUAGUCGGGUCCUAAGUCGAGUCCGAAAGGGGUAGACGAUGGCAAAUUGGUUAAUAUUCCAAUACCAACAUUAGUGUGCGAUGGAAGGACGCUUAGGGCUAAGGGGGCUAGCGGAUGGAAGUGCUAGUCUAAGGUCGUAGGAGGUUAUACAGGCAAAUCCGUAUAACAAUACUCCGAGAACUGAAAGGCUUUUUGAAGUCUUCGGAUGGAUAGAAGAACCCCUGAUGCCGUCGAGCCAAGAAAAGUUUCUAAGUUUAGCUAAUGUUGCCCGUACCGUAAACCGACACAGGUGGGUGGGAUGAGUAUUCUAAGGCGCGUGGAAGAACUCUCUUUAAGGAACUCUGCAAAAUAGCACCGUAUCUUCGGUAUAAGGUGUGGUUAGCUUUGUAUUAGGAUUUACUCCGAAAGCAAGGAAACUUACAACAAAGAGUCCCUCCCGACUGUUUACCAAAAACACAGCACUCUGCUAACUCGUAAGAGGAUGUAUAGGGUGUGACGCCUGCCCGGUGCUCGAAGGUUAAUUGAUGGGGUUAGCAUUAGCGAAGCUCUUGAUCGAAGCCCGAGUAAACGGCGGCCGUAACUAUAACGGUCCUAAGGUAGCGAAAUUCCUUGUCGGUUAAAUACCGACCUGCAUGAAUGGCGUAACGAGAUGGGAGCUGUCUCAAAGAGGGAUCCAGUGAAAUUGUAGUGGAGGUGAAAAUUCCUCCUACCCGCGGCAAGACGGAAAGACCCCGUGGACCUUUACUACAGCUUGACACUGCUACUUGGAUAAGAAUGUGCAGGAUAGGUGGGAGGCUUUGAGUAUAUGACGCCAGUUGUAUAUGAGCCAUUGUUGAGAUACCACUCUUUCUUA
Molecule: ribosomal RNA, 2207 nt
Filed under: Campylobacter jejuni
Lineage: Bacteria; Pseudomonadati; Campylobacterota; Epsilonproteobacteria; Campylobacterales; Campylobacteraceae
Description: partial 23S ribosomal RNA
Rfam family: Bacterial large subunit ribosomal RNA
Source: RNAcentral